RNAcentral lists this ribosomal RNA (253 nucleotides) under uncultured bacterium. RNAcentral's name for it is "partial 16S ribosomal RNA". It matches the Rfam family "Bacterial small subunit ribosomal RNA", at positions 524 to 776 of the family's 1533-position model. The record is from RNAcentral.
GACGUAGGGCGCGAGCGUUGUCCGGAUUUACUGGGCGUAAAGGGCGCGUAGGCGGCCAUUCAAGUUAGGUGUGAAAGCCCUGGGCUCAACCUAGGAAUUGCACUUGAUACUGUUUGGCUUGAGUUCGGGAGAGGUGAGUGGAAUUCCCAGUGUAGAGGUGAAAUUCGUAGAUAUUGGGAAGAACACCAGUGGCGAAGGCGGCUCACUGGACCGACACUGACGCUGAGGCGCGAAAGCGUGGGGAGCAAACAGG